This 344-nucleotide long non-coding RNA is filed under the name Vitis vinifera (wine grape). RNAcentral's name for it is "long non-coding RNA (VVIN_LNC000786)". Lineage: Eukaryota; Viridiplantae; Streptophyta; Magnoliopsida; Vitales; Vitaceae. The record is from RNAcentral.
CUUGUUUGCUGUCCGAUCGCCGCCAGAUCUGAGCUGCAAAUCGCCGGACUCGAUCCGAUUACUCAGAUUCUGGAUCUUCUCGAGUUCCGAUACCAACCGAUUCUUGAGUUGCACCAAAUCUUUUCUCGAAUACGAGCCGAUGUUGAAGGUCACGUAUCUACCCCGAUUGAACUCAACAAUCGAUCUCUGAUUGAAGGAAGAAGCGUCAUCCGAUGCCGAUUGCGUCACAGCAGGCGAUAAAUCGUUGAUAUCACCUGCCGGCGCGUGGGUUUUCCGCUUCGAAUUGUUAGGGUUAGGGUUUGAAGAAUGGAAUUUUCCCAUGAAUCCUCCUCCGCCUCCGCCGC